GGCCCCUUUUGGGGGGGCUUGCUGAAGAAGCCAUGCUGAGGGGACGAGGCUGAGGGCUCUGCUCCUGGCCCGGCCUGGCCUUCCUUCAAGCCUCCGCCCCCACAACCUCCCUCUUCUGCCUCAGACCAAAGGGGACGCGCACAGGACGAGGCCCGGCAAGGCGAAGACCCCCGUGCGCUGCAGCCCCCCAAGCCUGAAGACGGGAAGGGCUUGCAGAGACCCCGACAGCAGGACUGAGCUGAAGUUUUUAAAAGUCUCUGGGUCCUCUUGAUAGUUUUCUUCGAGAUGCCCCUUCAUCUCCAAAUUUGGAUAUUCCAAACGACACAACAUUUCU
Molecule: long non-coding RNA, 334 nt
Filed under: Pogona vitticeps (central bearded dragon)
Lineage: Eukaryota; Metazoa; Chordata; Lepidosauria; Squamata; Agamidae
Description: lncRNA (ENSPVIG00000020798.1)
Source: RNAcentral